AUUCCAGCUCCAAUAGCGUAUAUUAAAGUUGUUGCAGUUAAAAAGCUCGUAGUUGGAUUUCAGUCUUAACUCGUCUGGCCCGCUCCCUUGAGGAGCCGAGUGCCGGUUGCGAGUUGGACUUCCUUCUAGCAUGGAACCUCUACCGUUAUGCGGCCGGGGGGGACAUCUGGAUCAUUUACUUUGAAGAAAUUAGAGUGUUCAAAGCAAGCUUACGCUGUGAAUAUAUUAGCAUGGAAUAAUAACAUAGGACUCGGGUUCUAUUUUGUUGGUUUCUAGGACUCAAGUAAUGAUUGAUAGGGACAGUUGGGGGUGCUGCUAUUAUAUGGCCAGAGGUGAAAUUCACGGAUUCAUAUAAGAGCAACUUAUGCGAAAGCAUUCACCAAGGAUGUCUUCAUCG
RNAcentral lists this ribosomal RNA (397 nucleotides) under Chlorarachniophyceae sp. Its description in RNAcentral is "partial small subunit ribosomal RNA". It matches the Rfam family "Eukaryotic small subunit ribosomal RNA", at positions 582 to 975 of the family's 1831-position model. The record is from RNAcentral. Lineage: Eukaryota; Cercozoa; Chlorarachniophyceae.